CAGGGAGUAGUUUAAAAUAAGAAU
This 24-nucleotide transfer RNA is filed under the name Sciurus vulgaris (Eurasian red squirrel). Its description in RNAcentral is "partial tRNA-Pro". Lineage: Eukaryota; Metazoa; Chordata; Mammalia; Rodentia; Sciuridae. The record is from RNAcentral.